RNAcentral lists this long non-coding RNA (220 nucleotides) under Hordeum vulgare. RNAcentral's name for it is "long non-coding RNA (HVUL_LNC011476)". The record is from RNAcentral. Lineage: Eukaryota; Viridiplantae; Streptophyta; Magnoliopsida; Poales; Poaceae.
GAGUACUCAAAUAACACUAUGGAGAACAGUAAUGCUAAGCUCAACAAUGUUUGUAUUAUAGUGCACAACAAACGAACCCUAAUUUACACCACAAAUAAAAAUAUACCGACAAAUCAACUGAGGCACCGAGCAUACGUUCAAUGGACGACAUGCGUGAAACAUCAAUUUAAGGAAAGAUAAAAAAAAGCAACAUGCCACAUACAUUGUUUUUAUUUUCUUG